Molecule: ribosomal RNA, 459 nt
Filed under: uncultured bacterium
Lineage: Bacteria
Description: partial 16S ribosomal RNA
Rfam family: Bacterial small subunit ribosomal RNA
Source: RNAcentral
CCUACGGGGGGCAGCAGUGAGGAAUAUUGGUCAAUGGCCGAGAGGCUGAACCAGCCAAGUCGCGUGAGGGAAGACGGCCCUACGGGUUGUAAACCUCUUUUGUCGGGGAGCAAAGAGAGGCACGUGGGACGCAUUGAGAGUACCCGAAGAAAAAGGAUCGGCUAACUCCGUGCCAGCAGCCGCGGUAAUACGGAGGAUGCGAGCGUUAUCCGGAUUUAUUGGGUUUAAAGGGUGCGCAGGCGGAGGUGCAAGUCAGCGGUCCAAUUGCGGGGCUCAACCCCGUCCUGCCGUUGAAACUGCAUCCCUUGCGUGCGCGAGACGUAUGCGGAAUGCGUGGUGUAGCGGUGAACUGCAUAGAUAUCACGCAGAACUCCGAUUGCGACGGCAGCAUACCGGCGCGCACCUGACGCUCAUGCACGAAAGCGUGGGUAUCGAACAGGAUUAGAUACCCUUGUAGUC